AGGAAACCUGCUGCUUUCUAAGAGUACCCUCCGAGGCCUCGGGCUCUGCGCUUUCCUGCUUCCAGCCUUCGAAGCUCUCUCUGGGUGGCUUUCUUCCUCAUGGUUACAGUGGUGGCUGCUGGAGCACCUGCAUCUCGUCUCUGAGGCAGCUUCGAAGGUGUUUAUCCUGUGACUGACCCCGAAAGCCAAGAUGCAAGGAAGAAAGAAUAACUCAGAACCAAGCAGACGAGAGGGAAGUGAAACAGAAUUAAUUAGGCGGAUCAGAGCUGUUGGACACCAGGACCCCGGGUUCCUUGGUCAUGUGCCCAGGCAGUAAAAUCUGAUUGGGUCAUCUUUAGAGAUGUUCAUCUCUUGUCCAGUCAGCACCAGGAAUGGGCACAUUAUGCAGACAGAGUCUGCUGCAGUGCACUGUGGGUAAGGUGCUUCUCGUGACUGCCUGAGAUUUGCACUCAUGCAAGUGGACACUUGCAGCUCAUCUGCUGUUCUCCCAGCUGCGG
This 497-nucleotide small RNA is filed under the name Rattus norvegicus (Norway rat). Its description in RNAcentral is "uncharacterized LOC108352461". Lineage: Eukaryota; Metazoa; Chordata; Mammalia; Rodentia; Muridae. The record is from RNAcentral.